This 253-nucleotide ribosomal RNA is filed under the name uncultured bacterium. RNAcentral's name for it is "partial 16S ribosomal RNA". It matches the Rfam family "Bacterial small subunit ribosomal RNA", at positions 524 to 776 of the family's 1533-position model. The record is from RNAcentral.
UACGGGGGGGGUAAGCGUUGUUCGGAAUUACUGGGCGUAAAGGGCUCGUAGGCGGCCAACUAAGUCCGACGUGAAAUCCCAAGGCUUAACCUUGGAACUGCGUCGGAUACUGGAUGGCUUGAAUUCGGGAGAGGGAUGCAGAAUUCCAGGUGUAGCGGUGAAAUGCGUAGAUAUCUGGAGGAAUACCGGUGGCGAAGGCGGCAUCCUGGACCGACAUUGACGCUGAGGAGCGAAAGCUAGGGGAGCAAACGGG